CCGCUAUUAAUUCCACUCUAUGAAGUAACUUCUUUACAAGAAAUUCAUAGUAAAGUUAUUUAUUCAGCUACAGGUAGCCAAGGGACCUCAAGCCCCUUCAUAGUGGCUAGCUUUUUCUCUUUUUCUUAAGCAAUAUAGAAGCAUGAUACAGAAUUUGUAGCUCAUUCAAUAUGGACGUGUAGCGCUGUGAUUAUCAUCAUAUCCCAUGUUGUACAAAACCAUUGAAGUUUCACAUGAUGUCUUAUCCUGUCCAUACAAAUAGUUAGUAUAAUUACUGUAUCACUUAUUAUAUGGUACUUGACCUCAAUGGCAACACAAUCUUUUCCACAAUUUUUAAUAAGAUCCUGUUGUCCUGUGAUCCUGUUUGUGGCAGCUUCGUGCAAUAUAUAGACCUGCAUCUAAAGUUUCACUCGCAACAAUUAGGGUUAUUUUUCACGGGUAAUAAUUUUGGAAUAAAUAUUAUUCAGGUGAUUAUUUUGCUUAUUUGCCCUUAUUAGGAGGCUUCAAUUUAUCCCUCGAUUUUUCCCACAAUGCCCAUUCUCUUCUUAUAUAAUCUCUAUGGUCAUUAGAAAAAUUGAAACAGAUUUCCAAUGAAUUUAACUUGAUCAGCAAGGUGGUCUGGGACAAUAUGAUUAAUUUUUUUAUUUUUAGUAUUAUGAACUUCGUUUAGGUUGCAUAUGAUAGAACAUCACUUGCUGACACCAAAAAUACAAACUUCAUAUGUGCUGUUUCCACCGUCCUCAGUCUUGGAGUUGUAGAUUUCUGUGCUGCAUCCUUUAUUGUUUGUUCAGCAACAUCCUUUGC
This is a non-coding RNA of Paramuricea clavata, 804 nucleotides long. Lineage: Eukaryota; Metazoa; Cnidaria; Anthozoa; Malacalcyonacea; Plexauridae. The record is from the annotation of a GenBank genome assembly.